AUACGGAGGGUGCAAGCGUUAUCCGGAAUCACUGGGUUUAAAGGGUGCGUAGGCGGCCAUAUUAGUCAGUAGUGAAAGGUUGCAGCUUAACUGUAAGACUGCUAUUGAAACUGUAUGGCUUGAAUUAGGAUGAGGUAGGCGGAAUGUGACAUGUAGCGGUGAAAUGCUUAGAUAUGUCAUAGAACACCGAUUGCGUAGGCAGCUUACUAGACCUAUAUUGACGCUGAGGCACGAAAGCGUGGGGAGCGAACAGGAUUAGAAACCCUAGUAGUCC
RNAcentral lists this ribosomal RNA (274 nucleotides) under uncultured bacterium. Its description in RNAcentral is "partial 16S ribosomal RNA". It matches the Rfam family "Bacterial small subunit ribosomal RNA", at positions 523 to 796 of the family's 1533-position model. The record is from RNAcentral.